RNAcentral lists this ribosomal RNA (484 nucleotides) under uncultured bacterium. RNAcentral describes it as "partial 16S ribosomal RNA". It matches the Rfam family "Bacterial small subunit ribosomal RNA", at positions 28 to 523 of the family's 1533-position model. The record is from RNAcentral.
GACGAACGCUGGCGGCGUGCUUAACACAUGCAAGUCGAACGAUGAAGCCGAAGCUUGCUCGGGUGAAUUAGUGGCGAACGGGUGAGUAACACGUGAGUAACCUGCCCUUGACUCUGGGAUAACUGCUAGAAAUGGUAGCUAAUACCGGAUACGACCCUCGGCGGCAUCGCCAGGGGGUGGAAAGAAUUUCGGUCAAGGAUGGACUCGCGGCCUAUCAGCUAGUUGGUGAGGUAACGGCUCACCAAGGCGACGACGGGUAGCCGGCCUGAGAGGGUGACCGGCCACACUGGGACUGAGACACGGCCCAGACUCCUACGGGAGGCAGCAGUGGGGAAUAUUGCACAAUGGGCGCAAGCCUGAUGCAGCAACGCCGCGUGAGGGAUGACGGCCUUCGGGUUGUAAACCUCUUUUAGUAGGGAAGAAGCGAAAGUGACGGUACCUGCAGAAAAAGCACCGGCUAACUACGUGCCAGCAGCCGCGGUAA